GCAAAUUUAUUUUAACUGUUAAAUUGAUUAAAACUUUGGCAUGAUUCAUUUUGUCAUAUGUAAGUUAUAUGACCAUGGUUUUAUUUACCAUAAUUUAGACAUAAGAAGAUAGAAAAUAACAUUUAUGUAUGUGCCUGUCCCAAGUUAGGAGCCUGUAAUUCAGUGGUUGUCGUUUGUUUAUGUGUUACUUAUUUUUUUUCGUUCAUUUUUUUUACAUAAAUAAGGCCGUUAGUUUUCUCGUUUGAAUUGUUUUACGUUGUCUUAUUGGGGUAUUUUAUAGCUGACUAUGCAGUAUGGACUUUGCUCAUUGUUGAAGGCCGUACGGUGACCUAUAGUUGUUAAUGUUUGUGUCAUUUUGGUCUUUUGUGGAUAGUUGUCUCAUUGGCAAUCAUACCACAUCUUCUUUUUUUAUGUACGGAGUGUUGAAGGCUGUACGGUUGCCUUUAUAUGAUUCUUACAUCCACUGCAUUUAAACUCUGGCGUCAUAAUCCAUGACCUCCGAACUUGUUCUCCGAAGGUGAUUUUCAUAUGGCAGUUCACUUUUAAUGUAAUUUCUA
This 557-nucleotide long non-coding RNA is filed under the name Mytilus galloprovincialis (Mediterranean mussel). Lineage: Eukaryota; Metazoa; Mollusca; Bivalvia; Mytilida; Mytilidae. The record is from RNAcentral.